UCAGAUGCGUCGCGCCGAUCGCCUGAUGGGUACUCUAAUGCCUGAGCGUGGAGUCCCUUUGAGCUUGAGACGCGCUUGACCGGCCGUUGGGCUCGCGUCACCAAGUCCGCGUCCUUCUGGACGUCGGUACUACAACGCAUGACCUCAUUGGGGUAGGACAACCCGCUAGACUUAAGCAUAUUAAUCAGCGGAGGAAAAGAAACUAACCAGGAUUCCCCUAGUAACUGCGAGUGAAGCGGGACCGGCUCAAUGUGUGAAUCUGACUUGGGGUAAACCCGUGUCCGAGUUGUGCACUAUAGACGUUUCGUCUGCGUAUGUAACGGCGGUGGAAGUCCGUUGAAACACGGCACCUCAGAGGGUCACAGUCCUGUACCACCUGCCUGCACUCGCGCCAAUGACAAGCGCUCUUCGAGUCGCGUAGUUUUGUAAUGCUGCGCCAAGUGGGAGGUAGAGACCUUCUAAGGCUAAAUAUGAUGACGUGACCGAUAGCACACAAGUACCGCGAGGGAAAGGUGAAAAGCAACCAUGAAAAAUGGGUUGAAACAGUAGUGAAAGCGCUUCCGGGAU
RNAcentral lists this ribosomal RNA (567 nucleotides) under uncultured Tulasnellaceae. RNAcentral's name for it is "eukaryotic LSU rRNA". The stretch from base 140 to 567 matches the Rfam family "Eukaryotic large subunit ribosomal RNA", at positions 1 to 417 of the family's 3401-position model. Lineage: Eukaryota; Fungi; Basidiomycota; Agaricomycetes; Cantharellales; Tulasnellaceae. The record is from RNAcentral.